UCCACGUUUCUCCUCCCUGAGCGUGCGUCUUGACACUUGUUGAGACUUUUGCCCCCGGCCUACCUCCCCUUGGCUGGGGGUAUUUUUU
RNAcentral lists this non-coding RNA (88 nucleotides) under Candidatus Gallionella acididurans. RNAcentral describes it as "Burkholderia RNA 7 (anti-hemB)". It matches the Rfam family "Burkholderia RNA 7 (anti-hemB)". Rfam says of the family: This RNA motif was identified by computational search in b-proteobacteria Burkholderia. Co-purified with Hfq, expression confirmed by Northern blot. Putative functional homologue of SP-RydB and predicted target hemB. Lineage: Bacteria; Pseudomonadati; Pseudomonadota; Betaproteobacteria; Nitrosomonadales; Gallionellaceae. The record is from Rfam by way of RNAcentral.